This 484-nucleotide ribosomal RNA is filed under the name uncultured bacterium. RNAcentral's name for it is "partial 16S ribosomal RNA". It matches the Rfam family "Bacterial small subunit ribosomal RNA", at positions 28 to 507 of the family's 1533-position model. The record is from RNAcentral.
AUUGAACGCUGGCGGCAUGCUUUACACAUGCAAGUCGAACGGCAGCGCGGGCUUCGGCCUGGCGGCGAGUGGCGAACGGGGGAGUAAUGCAUCGGAACGUGCACUGAAGUGGGGGAUAGGCCGGCGAAAGCCGGAUUAAUACCGCAUACGACCUGAGGGUGAAAGUGGGGGGGCGAAAGGUCUCGUGCUAUUGGAGCGGGCGAUGUCGGAUUAGCUAGUUGGUGGGGUAAAGGCUUACCAAGGCGACGAGCCUUAGCUGGUCUGAGAGGACGACCAGACAGACGGUGAGUGAGACAGAGCCGAGACUCCUGCGCGGGGAAGCAGUGGAGAAUUUUGGGCGAUGGGGGCGUGCCUGAUCCAGCCAUGCCGCGGGAGGGAUGAAGGCCUUCUGGUUGUAGACCGAUUUUGUUCGGGAAGAUAUCCUGUGGGCUAAUACCCCGGGGUGAUGACGGUACCGGAAGAAUAAGCACCGGCUAACUACGUG